GCGGCCGUAGUCUAGCCUGGUCUAGGACGUCGGCCCGCCACGCCGAGGACCCGGGUUCAAAUCCCGGCGGCCGCACCA
This 78-nucleotide transfer RNA is filed under the name Candidatus Bathyarchaeota archaeon. RNAcentral describes it as "tRNA-Gly". It matches the Rfam family "tRNA". Rfam says of the family: Transfer RNA (tRNA) molecules are approximately 80 nucleotides in length. Their secondary structure includes four short double-helical elements and three loops (D, anti-codon, and T loops). Further hydrogen bonds mediate the characteristic L-shaped molecular structure. tRNAs have two regions of fundamental functional importance: the anti-codon, which is responsible for specific mRNA codon recognition, and the 3' end, to which the tRNAs corresponding amino acid is attached (by aminoacyl-tRNA synthetases). tRNAs cope with the degeneracy of the genetic code in two manners: having more than one tRNA (with a specific anti-codon) for a particular amino acid; and 'wobble' base-pairing, i.e. permitting non-standard base-pairing at the 3rd anti-codon position. The record is from RNAcentral. Lineage: Archaea; Thermoproteati; Candidatus Bathyarchaeota.